This 274-nucleotide ribosomal RNA is filed under the name uncultured bacterium. RNAcentral describes it as "partial 16S ribosomal RNA". It matches the Rfam family "Bacterial small subunit ribosomal RNA", at positions 523 to 796 of the family's 1533-position model. The record is from RNAcentral.
AUACGAAAGGUGCAAGCGUUGUUCGGAUUUACUGGGCGUAAAGAGAGUGUAGGUGGUUUAUUAAGUCGGAUGUGAAAUCCCGGGGCUCAACCUCGGAACUGCAUUCGAUACUGAUAGGCUAGAGUUUGGGAGGGGUAAGCGGAAUUCCGUGUGUAGCAGUGAAAUGCGUAGAUAUACGGAGGAACACCUGAGGCGAAGGCGGCUUACUGGACCAAUACUGACACUGAGACUCGAAAGCGAGGGUAGCAAACAGGAUUAGAUACCCUAGUAGUCC